CCCUUAGAUGUUCUGGGCAGCACGCGCGCUACAAUGGUCUUCGCAAACGGAUGCAUUCUCGAAGGAGAAUGCCAAUCUUGGAAUCUAUGCCUUGGUCGGGACAGUUGCUUGCAAUUUUUCGACUCGAACCAGGAAUUCCUUGUAAUCGUGAUUCAUCACAUCACGAUGAAUACGUCCCUGCCCUUUGUACACACCGCCCGUCGCCCCUACCGAUCGAAGAGUUAGGUGAAUUGUUUUGAUCGAUAAGAUUUGACUAUGGUCAACUCUCGUUGUGAAAUUCUGUGAAUCUGACUGUUUAGAGGAAGGAAAAGGCGUAACA
RNAcentral lists this ribosomal RNA (319 nucleotides) under uncultured eukaryote. RNAcentral describes it as "partial 18S ribosomal RNA". It matches the Rfam family "Eukaryotic small subunit ribosomal RNA", at positions 1470 to 1796 of the family's 1831-position model. The record is from RNAcentral.